RNAcentral lists this ribosomal RNA (492 nucleotides) under uncultured bacterium. Its description in RNAcentral is "partial 16S ribosomal RNA". It matches the Rfam family "Bacterial small subunit ribosomal RNA", at positions 29 to 507 of the family's 1533-position model. The record is from RNAcentral.
AGUGAACGCUGGCGGUAGGCCUAACACAUGCAAGUCGAACGGCAGCACAGUAAGAGCUUGCUCUUACGGGUGGCGAGUGGCGGACGGGUGAGGAAUACAUCGGAAUCUACUUUUUCGUGGGGGAUAACGUAGGGAAACUUACGCUAAUACCGCAUACGACCUACGGGUGAAAGCAGGGGAUCUUCGGACCUUGCGCGAUUGAAUGAGCCGAUGUCGGAUUAGCUAGUUGGCGGGGUAAAGGCCCACCAAGGCGACGAUCCGUAGCUGGUCUGAGAGGAUGAUCAGCAACACUGGAACUGAGACACGGUCCAGACUCCUACGGGAGGCAGCAGUGGGGAAUAUUGGACAAUGGGCGCAAGCCUGAUCCAGCCAUACCGCGUGGGUGAAGAAGGCCUUCGGGUUGUAAAGCCCUUUUGUUGGGAAAGAAAAGCAGCAGGUUAAUACCCCACUGUUCUGACGGUACCCAAAGAAUAAGCACCGGCUAACUUCGUG